RNAcentral lists this ribosomal RNA (427 nucleotides) under uncultured beta proteobacterium. RNAcentral's name for it is "bacterial SSU rRNA". It matches the Rfam family "Bacterial small subunit ribosomal RNA", at positions 355 to 774 of the family's 1533-position model. The record is from RNAcentral. Lineage: Bacteria; Pseudomonadati; Pseudomonadota; Betaproteobacteria.
UGGGGAAUUUUGGACAAUGGGCGAAAGCCUGAUCCAGCCAUGCCGCGUGAGUGAAGAAGGCCUACGGGUUGUAAAGCUCUUUUAGUCGGAAAGAAAGAGUUGCAAUGAAUAAUUGUGAUUUAUGACGGUACCGACAGAAAAAGCACCGGCUAACUACGUGCCAGCAGCCGCGGUAAUACGUAGGGUGCGAGCGUUAAUCGGAAUUACUGGGCGUAAAGGGUGCGCAGGCGGUUUUGUAAGUCAGAUGUGAAAGCCCCGGGCUUAACCUGGGAAUUGCGUUUGAAACUGCAAGACUAGAGUGCAGCAGAGGGGAGUGGAAUUCCAUGUGUAGCAGUGAAAUGCGUAGAGAUGUGGAAGAACACCGAUGGCGAAGGCAGCUCCCUGGGGUGACACUGACGCUCAUGCACGAAAGCGUGGGGAGCAAACA